RNA transcript from Globicephala melas (long-finned pilot whale), 3978 nucleotides. It is a transcript of the gene named family with sequence similarity 174 member B, with no coding region annotated. The record is from RefSeq and is a predicted model, not a curated record. NCBI's taxonomy places the organism in Eukaryota, Metazoa, Chordata, Mammalia, Artiodactyla, Delphinidae.
AUGCGCGCCGCGCCGCCGGCCGCGCGGCUUCUGCCGCUGCUGGUGCUGCUCGCGCUCCUGGCCGCGCCCGCCGCCCGCGCCAGCAGAGCCGAGUCCGCCGCCCCGCCGCAGUCCGGAUCCGAGCGCCAGCCGCGGCCACCGCCCGGCCCUGGGCCCGGGAACGCCACCGGGAUGGGCUCCGGGGAGGCGGCGGGCGGCGGCGGCGGCGGCAGCUCCAACAGCAGCGGUGACGCCCUGGUGACCCGCAUCUCCAGCCUGCUCCGCGACCUGCCCACCCUGAAGGCGGCCGUGAUCGUGGCGUGCGCCUUCUCCGCCUUCCUCAUAGCCUGCCUGCUGCUGCGCGUCUUCAGGUCGGGGAAGAGGUUGAAGAAGACCCGCAAGUAUGACAUCAUCACCACUCCAGCUGAGCGAGUGGAAAUGGCCCCGUUGAACGAAGAGGAUGACGAAGACGAGGACUCCACAGUAUUUGACAUCAAAUACAGGGGGGAACUGCUUUGAUCUCUCCCAGGAACGCGCAGCACCCAGAAAGCCAGCAGGGAAGUGCUUGCAGGGAAAUGCUUAUUCUCAACUCUUUCCUGACGAGAACCCUUGAGAAGUCAGCUUUGUGGGCGCGAAAGGAGAGCUGAAUUUCGGACAACGAGCUUGUCAUGUACAGACUGUGGGGAAUCUGGUCCAAGCAACCGCCAUGUACCAUGCGCCAUGCACACAAAUGGAAACUUGUUUUUCAGCCUUGCUUAGUUGUGGGAAGUCUGCCGAGGGCCCCCCGGCACCUGGUGGUGUGGUCCUCAUGUCUGUCUGUCUCAGGAGAACUCACACACGUGGCCUGGUUUCCUCCCUCGGCUUCUCCAUUCCGUGGCUGCUGUGCCGUCUUCCUGAGGUGUCCUCGUCUGCUGCACCGAGGGGUCAGCUGCCAGCGUGCAAGACAGGUGCUGAGACAGGUGCUCCUGUGUGGAGGGCUCUUUCUGCCAACAGACAAACUUCUUGUAAAACAUGGGACAGGGACAGGUUGGGGCAUGUCCCUCUCCUUCUCUGGGAUGGCUGUAACCCAAUGUCGCUGUACAGGACGGUUGCAAGUCGGAAGAGAAUAAGCAUGGGUCAUGGCACCUAAACGUGCCUUUACUUCACCUGGAGUUUCCAGGGAGUGUGGGAGCGGGGUCUGCAUGGACCACCUUUCUGGUUAAUCUUAGUGACAAAGCAGGGAUGUCAAUAGCAGUUUGGCUUUUCUGGAGGACGGAAAGGGCCCAGAGAUCCCUCUUAGAAAUCUCUGCUUGUCAUCUUCUACGUGCACCCAGCUCACUGCAAAUGCAGGAUGGGUAAGCCUGGCCCUGCCCUCUGGGAGCUUGUGCUGAGGUGGGGUGUCCAGGAACAUGGACUCUUAUAAGAGGACCUGGUAAACGCCACAGGGAGGAAAGAACAGGGUGCUGUGGGCAGCCACCAGGGGCACAUCUCCCUGGCACCUCUUCCCAGAGGAGAUGAAGCUUAGAGGGGGUUUGGAAGGACAAGGGAGUGAGCCUGGAGCACAUUGACGGGCAGGGAGGAGUGAGGGCAUCCGAGGAAGAAGUAAUAGCAUGUCGACAGGUGCGAGUUUGAGCGGGUGUAGGGCCAACCGGGUGAGCUGCAUCUGUGAGCCUGUCCCCCCAGGACCCUCCCCUGGGGAGAGCCCCAAAGCUUCAUGGCCUCAGGGGAACAGCGGGAUGAAAAGAAGAGGGCCGGGACUUUACAACCUUCCUCCUCACCCCAGUCCCUCUGUCGGUUUUCCCCAGAGCUGCCCGAGUCACAGUCACACCAGAGAGUCUGAAGGGCAGCGAAGCACACUGCUCGGACUUGAGGUCCAGAGCUGGUGACCUCUGAGGUGUUGGCACGCGCCCAGGGAAGCUGCUCCCCGUGGGGCAGGCGAGCACAUCUGUUUUCUUUUUCCAGGAGCAGCCCUGGAGAUUUAGUUCUGCUGAGGAGGGAGCCUGCGGAAUCAGAUGUGCUUGAUGGUUCGUGGUGGCUCCCCUACUGCUCCGUCUCUACCCGCUGUGUGUGUGUGUGUGUGUGUGUGUGUGUGUGUGUGCGUGCGCGCGCAUGCGCGCGCGCGCGUUUCUUCCUAUAAGCACAAGGAGUCAACAGCUGCUCACAGGGGGUUGGGGUGCAGGCAGGGAAGCUGGCAGAGCAUCCCGGGGUGUGCCCUUGGGGCAUCCGGAAGAUGCAGUUCAACGAAAUAGCAAUCUUGGGACACCUGCGAAGGUGAAUUUUCAAUGCGUUGGCGGUAUAUAAAGUUCACAUCUCUGCGAAUUCUGACGGUCUGCUGUUUCCAGAUUCAGCAGGCUGAAUCUACCUGACUCCGUAGUCUGCUUUUGUUCAUAUGCACACCUGCUCUGGGUAGCUCUUGGGAAUCGGGUCCCUUUACUCUGGUCCGAUUCUUGGUUUUUGAAAGCUUUGCUGCUCCGUCUCCAGUCCCCUGGCCCCGACCCGUCACGCUCAACAUUGAACUUGCAGCAGGAUGCAGGGGAAGACCUGACUGUGGGGUCAAGGCCGCUGGGAGUCUUAACAUUUGAGGUCCUCAGGCUGCAUCUGUAGAGUGGGGGUGUCUGGGCUCCGUGGAUGUCAGUAAGCGGGGGUGAGCCCCCCUCUUCCUAGCCCAGAGGAGGGGGCAUGUGGGUGACGCAAGAAAACCAGCCUUCACAGCGUGGACAUGGCCGUGGGGAUUUAUCUUUUUUUUCCUCUAAUCUGUUGAACAGGGGACCCUAGUGGUCAAUACGAGGAUACCCAUGUCUAUUUUUUUUAAAUUUGGAAAUAAUUUCAAACUUAAAAGUUGCAAGACAAAAACAGUAGAGAGAACACCCAGAUACCCUUUACCUAGAUUUUCCUAUUUUAAAAUUUUGCCUCACUUGUCUUAUGAUGGCUCUGUGUGUUCAGAUUUUUUUUUUCUGAACCAUUUUCUGAACGCGUUACGUCUCUCAUGUCCCUUUCCCCCCAGUACUUAAGUGUGUAUUUCCUAAAAAUAUGAUGUCCAUAUCUUUCAGUAAUUAGUUACCUGAUAUUUAUAUUUGGGAUCAUGUAAUGUUAUGAAAAGCAGUUUAUUAUUUGAUAAGUUCUAUUAAGUCUCCACUGUUUUUCCAUGUGAUUAUGUAAUGCCCACGUUCAAACAUUAAUAGAUGCUGGGGACCUCUCAAAUUUUCCCUCCUUUUCUAAAUCCCUUUGGAUGAUGUCUUGAAUAGAUUCAGUUUUUCAACUUUCACCCAUUGUACAAAUAUUUCUUGCACCCCCUUCGAUUGUCUGACACUGUGCUUGGUGCUGGGGUUUAAACGUGAACAAGCUCCGACAAGGGUCUCACCCUCAGGGAGCUCCCAGUCUAGGCAAGAGACAGACACGAAUCAGAUAAUUACAUAAACCAUAAACCAGGGGCCAGCAGGCUAAGGGCCCUGGGCCAGAUCAGCCCACUGCCUAUUUUUGUAUGGCUCCUGAGCCAAGAAUGAUUUUUACAUUUUUGAUGGUUGAAAAAGAAGCAAAAGAAGAAUAACAUGUAAAAAUUAAAUGCAAUUCAAACCUCAGUGUCCACAAAUAAAGUUUUAUUGGAACACAGCCAUGCCAAGCAUUUCCAGCAGCAGGGUUGAGCAGUUGCCAUGAAAACUAGAGGACCUGCAAAGUCAAAAAUAUUUAGUACCCUCUGGACUUUUACAGGGGAGGUUUGCCGAGCCCCGGUGUAAACUCCCACAGAAGUGCUAGGAAGGAGGAUUACAAGGAUAAGAGAGGUGGUGUUCUAGGGGUCUGUGUGGGGACCUAGGAAAGCAUCCUGAGGUGGGAGCUGAGGGAAGGGAAGGCGUUACCUGGAGGAGUGGGUGUGCGUUCCAGGCAGCACUUUCAAAGGUCCUGGGGUUGAGGAGGGUGGCGUUUUCAAGGGCUGAAAAGGCAGCUUGUGUGGCAGGAAUAGAGAUGGGGGGUGAGAGAGAUGGAGGCACUGCUGGAGGGGCAUGGGGAGGGGUGUCAACUGCC